GCCUCGGUCCUUCGCCGUCCCUCGCCGUCCUUCGCCAUCGCAUGCCAUCGCACGCCACCGCACCCCAUCUCUCGAAAUCUGCAGACAUCUUGAUUUUUCCCACGCUGUCUGUCAGGUCUCCGCCGCCACUCGACGCCAGGGCGCCGGGUGAGUCCACAGCAGGGCGCAUGGUCUGCUCCACUCUCACCAUCGGGGGAAACUGAGGCCCCGGGGAAGGCGGCCAGAGAGGUCAGGCCCGGUCCUUGGUGCAGUGUCUCGUCCUCUUUGCCGGAGUGAGCCCCCCAGGAUUCGCGUAUCCUCGGGAAAGACACUGGCGGGCCUUGUGGGCUGUGCUGCACCUCGGACGGCUUCGCACCAGCCAGCGCCCUCUCUCUCCUGCAGCACUCUGAUCUGCACCCCCUGAGGGGCUUCCACUGUCCGCGGGGUGAGAAUGCCCCUGGGAAUGUCACAUGACUGCCGCCCCAUGUGUGUGAGAGGUGUCCUCUGGGAGAGCAUGGAUCCUGAGGUCCCAGGAUUGUCAGCUGACCUCUGUCCUGUGUGCCCAGUGGCCCCAGGU
RNAcentral lists this long non-coding RNA (556 nucleotides) under Pan troglodytes (chimpanzee). RNAcentral describes it as "lincRNA". Lineage: Eukaryota; Metazoa; Chordata; Mammalia; Primates; Hominidae. The record is from RNAcentral.